Molecule: long non-coding RNA, 1358 nt
Filed under: Actinidia chinensis (golden kiwifruit)
Lineage: Eukaryota; Viridiplantae; Streptophyta; Magnoliopsida; Ericales; Actinidiaceae
Description: long non-coding RNA (ACHI_LNC002994)
Source: RNAcentral
GACCAUCUAAAAUAUGACAUUUUAUACAGUGGCGGACGCAGAAAUUACGUUUAGGGGGGCUAAAUUAUAUAUUUUCAAUGGACAAAAGUCUGAGGGAGUCAGUUAUGUAUACUUUAAUAGACCAAUAGCAAAAUAAUCAAAACUAAUAGAGAUUUUUCAAAUGUUUGCCACUGGCAUUAACCACGCUAUCUAAAGGGUCUUGCGUGACGCGUAUUUGGAUCAUAUCAAAUAUAGUAGCCAAAUAUCACCACAUACUAUUAUUGCAGUUUCUUGAACCAUAUUGAUUUAGUUUCUAAAAAGACCAAACAAGAAUCUCAUUUUUCUCUUAUUAAAGGUGAUCACUUUAUUCAUUAAAAUGAAAUACAUAAUUGAAAAACUCGACUUUAAUACUUAAAAGAUACCACUUCAGCAUGAUGACUUGGUAUCAAUACGCAAAACUUUCUUCUAUCGUAGGUAUGUCUUUUGUGUGACUAAACAAGAACAUGUGUAUUCAACAAAUACAGGACAAUGAAAUGCCAGGUCCAAUCUGCCACGCUAAUUAAUAAUGGUAAAUUACAUAUCAUAUCCUUGUACUUUAAUUGAUAUUGCACAUUGUACCCUUCAAUUUUGAUUGUAACAGUCAACACUUUAUACUUUAGAUCAAUUGUCAACAUAUUUUUAUGUUACAAAAAGUGGCAAAAAAAGGACAUGUGGACUGAAGGGUCACGUUGACACUUGACCUAAAGAGUAAGUGAAGGGUGAAAGGUGAAAUUUUAGUAAAAUUUUAGGAGUGAGAAAAGACUAAUUUUUCCAAAAUUUAAAAUCCGUGGUGCGUGUGAAUAUGUCCACCGUCGUGGUGGUGCCCUACAUGAAUGUGUCCACCAUCGUGGUGGUGCCCCGUGUGAAUGUGUUCACCGUCGUGGUGAUGCCCCACAUGAAUGUGUCCACCAUCGUGGUGGUGCCCCAUGUGACUGUGUCCACCGUCGUGACCAUGGUUGUGGUGCCCCGUAUGCCCGUGAUGUGUAUGAUCUUGUCCACCGUGGUGUCCACAUUCAUGGUGUUGGUUGUCACCUCCGUCGUCACCUCCACCGCCACCAUCGUCGGCAUCACCUCCAUCAGCGCCUUUGUCGCCACCACCGUCACGGUGAUGGUGCUCACCUGGAUCAUCAUCAUCACAACAGGCUAGAACCACCAUAGAUAUGAUGGACAGUGACACCACAAUACCACACACCAACAUCAACAAACCACUAGAGAUUGGUAAAACACCGCCAUAAUCGCUUAUGGGAUUCAAGAUUCUAGCCAUCUUAAUUGAUAUCUUUUCAAACAACUUUGUAUACGUCCUAAGCCCCUACACAGGAUAUACAUAUGUAUAGACAGAC